CCAGUUGAGAAUCCACCACAGGAUUUUGGUCAAGACCUGGUGAAUUACUGUUCAUAUCAAUGGAAGCAUGAUUAAGAGCUGAACCAGAGACAUCUACAUUUUUAUUAUUCUCUUUGGUAUUGUUCCCCUCAGAUGAAUUCACUGAAGGACUGGCUUCAACAACCUCAUCACGGACAUCAUUCAUAUCAAACUCUUUAAAAGGCAAAGCAUUAUCCGUCACUUGAGAAUCAAGCACAGGAUUUCGGUCAUGCCCUGGUGAAUUAUUAUUCAUAUCACUUUCAGUGUGAUCAAGAACUGAACCAGAGACAUCUACAUUUUCAUCAUUCUCUUUGGCAUUGUUCGCCUCGGACAAAUUCGCUAAAGGACCAGAUUCAAGAACCUCGACAUGGGUAUCAUUCAUAUCAAAUUCUUUACAAGACAAAGCAUUAUCCACCACUCGAGAAUCCGACACAGGAUUUUGGUCAAGUCCUGGGGAAUCACAAUUCAUAUCAGUGAUAUCUUGAUUAAGAGCUGAACCAGAGAC
RNAcentral lists this long non-coding RNA (523 nucleotides) under Medicago truncatula (barrel medic). RNAcentral describes it as "long non-coding RNA (MTRU_LNC007791)". The record is from RNAcentral. Lineage: Eukaryota; Viridiplantae; Streptophyta; Magnoliopsida; Fabales; Fabaceae.